This 465-nucleotide ribosomal RNA is filed under the name Vreelandella stevensii. Its description in RNAcentral is "partial 16S ribosomal RNA". It matches the Rfam family "Bacterial small subunit ribosomal RNA", at positions 338 to 795 of the family's 1533-position model. The record is from RNAcentral. Lineage: Bacteria; Pseudomonadati; Pseudomonadota; Gammaproteobacteria; Oceanospirillales; Halomonadaceae.
CCUACGGGAGGCAGCAGUGGGGAAUAUUGGACAAUGGGCGAAAGUCUGAUCCAGCCAUGCCGCGUGUGUGAAGAAGGCCUUCGGGUUGUAAAGCACUUUCAGUGGGGAAGAAAGCCUUGGGGCUAAUACCCUCGAGGAAGGACAUCACCCACAGAAGAAGCACCGGCUAACUCCGUGCCAGCAGCCGCGGUAAUACGGAGGGUGCGAGCGUUAAUCGGAAUUACUGGGCGUAAAGCGCGCGUAGGCGGUCUGAUAAGCCGGUUGUGAAAGCCCCGGGCUCAACCUGGGAACGGCAUCCGGAACUGUCAGGCUAGAGUGCAGGAGAGGAAGGUAGAAUUCCCGGUGUAGCGGUGAAAUGCGUAGAGAUCGGGAGGAAUACCAGUGGCGAAGGCGGCCUUCUGGACUGACACUGACGCUGAGGUGCGAAAGCGUGGGUAGCAAACAGGAUUAGAUACCCCAGUAGUC